CAACUUGAGAGUUUGAUCCUGGCUCAGAACGAACGCUGGCGGCAGGCCUAACACAUGCAAGUCGAGCGAGACCUUCGGGGCUAGCGGCGGACGGGUUAGUAACGCGUGGGAACGUACCCUUCUCUAAGGAAUAGCCACUGGAAACGGUGAGUAAUACCGCAUACGCCCUUUUGGGGAAAGAUUUAUCGGAGGAGGAUCGGCCCGCGUUGGAUUAGGUAGUUGGUGGGGUAAUGGCCUACCAAGCCUACGAUCCAUAGCUGGUUUUAGAGGAUGAUCAGCCACA
Molecule: ribosomal RNA, 283 nt
Filed under: Roseovarius sp.
Lineage: Bacteria; Pseudomonadati; Pseudomonadota; Alphaproteobacteria; Rhodobacterales; Roseobacteraceae
Description: partial 16S ribosomal RNA
Rfam family: Bacterial small subunit ribosomal RNA
Source: RNAcentral